Molecule: small nuclear RNA, 165 nt
Organism: Cricetulus griseus (Chinese hamster)
Lineage: Eukaryota; Metazoa; Chordata; Mammalia; Rodentia; Cricetidae
Gene: U1
Rfam family: U1 spliceosomal RNA
About the family: U1 is a small nuclear RNA (snRNA) component of the spliceosome (involved in pre-mRNA splicing). Its 5' end forms complementary base pairs with the 5' splice junction, thus defining the 5' donor site of an intron.
Source: Ensembl
AUACUUACUUGGCAGGAGAGAUGCAGUGAUCCGGGAGGUGGCUUUCCCAGUUAGGAGCUCUUUCUUCCAUUGCACUUGGGAUAUGCUGACCAAUGAUUUCCUCAGUGCAGGAAACUCCACUAUAUAAAUUGUGAUAGUGGGGGACUGUGUUUGUGCUCUCCUCUU